GACGAACACUGGCGGCGUGCCUAAUACAUGCAAGUCGACCUUAGUUGCGACCGGGUGAGUAACACUUGGGUAACCUGCCCAUCAGAAGGGGAUAACACUUGGAAACAGGUGCUAAUACCGUAUACUGAUGGAUGGACCCGCGGUGCAUUAGCUAGUUGGUGCUGUAACGGCUCACCAAGUCCACGAUGCAUAGCCGACCUGGGAGGGUGAUCGGCAACAGUGGAACUGAGACACAGCCCAAACUCCUACGGGAGGCAGCAGUAGGGAAUCUUCGGCAAUGGACGAAAGUCUGACCGAGCAACGCCGCGUGAGUGAAGAAGGUUUUCGGAUCGUAAAACUCUGUUGUUAGAGAAGCGGUAUCUAACCAGAAAGCCACGGCUAACUACGUGCCAGCCGCCGCGGUAAUAC
This 408-nucleotide ribosomal RNA is filed under the name uncultured bacterium. RNAcentral describes it as "partial 16S ribosomal RNA". It matches the Rfam family "Bacterial small subunit ribosomal RNA", at positions 28 to 526 of the family's 1533-position model. The record is from RNAcentral.